AAGGAAAGGCAAAUUUAUUUGCAAAUUCUCACAUCCGUUCCUGAAAACCAUCAGUAAGGAUUUUAUAUACAAUAUAUAAAAUGAGGUCUGGAUCCCGAUACUUUUUUUUCCAACCUGCCUUUUAUCCAGACCCCUGAAUGUUUUGUUCAGGUACCAAAAAACAAACAA
Molecule: long non-coding RNA, 168 nt
Organism: Panthera uncia (snow leopard)
Lineage: Eukaryota; Metazoa; Chordata; Mammalia; Carnivora; Felidae
Exons: 2
Source: RefSeq, a predicted model, not a curated record